Cyprinus carpio carpio is the source of this 748-nucleotide long non-coding RNA. Lineage: Eukaryota; Metazoa; Chordata; Actinopteri; Cypriniformes; Cyprinidae. The record is from Ensembl.
GUCUUUUUAUAGAGUUCAUAGCAUGAUUUAUCUCUUAGCUAAUCACUAUUAGCAUGUAGCUAUUCACUGCUAGCAUGACUAGCAUGUUGGAAUUCCAGUUUGCUAGCAUGAGUCAAAAGAGCCAACCGCCAUGUCUGUACGAUGUUCUGAUUGAGAGAUAUAGAUCUUGCAAAAUGGUUGCUAGGGAACUCUGUUUGGUUGCUAGGGAGUGGCUUGGCAGCUCCCAAUGAUGAUACUCCAAAGGAUGCUUGACAAUAUAAGCCAACCCCCAUGUCUCUACGAUGUUUUGAUGCAGAGACAUAGGUCUUGCAAAACUGUUGCUAGGGUACUCUGUUUGGUUGCUAGGGAGUGGCUUGGCAGCUGGGAAUGAUGGCUGCUUUCUAGUAUAAAUGGUAUAAACCAACCCCCAUGCCUUUAUGAUAUUCAGAUUUGAAGAUAUCGAUCUAUUCUUUGGGUUGCUAGGGUGGUUUAAAUGGUUGCUAGGGCGUGGCUAUGAAGUCUUGAAGGUGAUUUGUGAUUGGUUGUUUGCUGCCCCGAGUCAAACGAGCCCACCCUCAUGUUUCUAUGACACUUCUAUCCAAAGAUAUUAAUUUGAUCUUUUUCAAUGGAAGUCUAUGGAGAUUGUUACUAAGAGGCCCUAAAGGGUUGCUAGGGCGUGGCUUGAGUGCUUCACAAUGAUCCAGACAGACUGAUUGGUUGCCUGAUUAAAAUGAGCCCACCCCCAUGUCUCUAUGACAUUGUGUUCCAG